Molecule: ribosomal RNA, 459 nt
Filed under: uncultured bacterium
Lineage: Bacteria
Description: partial 16S ribosomal RNA
Rfam family: Bacterial small subunit ribosomal RNA
Source: RNAcentral
CCUACGGGAGACUGCAGUGAGGAAUAUUGGUCAAUGGCCGCAGGGCUGAACCAGCCAAGUCGCGUGAGGGAUGACGGUCCUAUGGAUUGUAAACCUCUUUUGUCAGGGAGCAAAGGGCGCCACGUGUGGCGCUUUGCGAGUACCUGAAGAAAAAGCAUCGGCUAACUCCGUGCCAGCAGCCGCGGUAAUACGGAGGAUGCGAGCGUUAUCCGGAUUUAUUGGGGUUAAAGGGUGCGCAGGCGGAAUGUCAAGUCAGCGGUAAAAUUUCGGGGCUCAACCCCGUCGUGCCGUUGAAACUGGCGUUCUUGAGUGAGCGAGAAGUAUGCGGAAUGCGUGGUGUAGCGGUGAAAUGCAUAGAUAUCACGCAGAACUCCGAUUGCGAAGGCAGCAUACCGGCGCUCAACUGACGCUCAUGCACGAAAGCGUGGGUAUCGAACAGGAUUAGAUACCCUGGUAGUC